Non-coding RNA from Pelobates cultripes (western spadefoot toad), 210 nucleotides. Lineage: Eukaryota; Metazoa; Chordata; Amphibia; Anura; Pelobatidae. The record is from the annotation of a GenBank genome assembly.
GGAAGAACAGAUCAAAAUGGGCCGCGGAGAGGAGGAGUUCAAAUGUCAGGGGCCCGGUCGUGGGUUGCAGGGGUGGGGGAAACAAAAUAAGAAGGGGCCCGGCCGAUUUUUGUGGGCUCAAGGGGCAGCUGCUUUAGGCCCCCAGGAAUAACUGGGCCCCUUUUGCCCCACCUUAAAGACGGCCCUGCCCGGCGUGAGCGCUGAAUGCGC